This 116-nucleotide transfer RNA is filed under the name Alphaproteobacteria bacterium. Its description in RNAcentral is "tRNA-Lys". The stretch from base 57 to 115 matches the Rfam family "tRNA". From Rfam's summary of the family: Transfer RNA (tRNA) molecules are approximately 80 nucleotides in length. Their secondary structure includes four short double-helical elements and three loops (D, anti-codon, and T loops). Further hydrogen bonds mediate the characteristic L-shaped molecular structure. tRNAs have two regions of fundamental functional importance: the anti-codon, which is responsible for specific mRNA codon recognition, and the 3' end, to which the tRNAs corresponding amino acid is attached (by aminoacyl-tRNA synthetases). tRNAs cope with the degeneracy of the genetic code in two manners: having more than one tRNA (with a specific anti-codon) for a particular amino acid; and 'wobble' base-pairing, i.e. permitting non-standard base-pairing at the 3rd anti-codon position. Lineage: Bacteria; Pseudomonadati; Pseudomonadota; Alphaproteobacteria. The record is from RNAcentral.
CGAGUGUCGUAUAGUGUCGUAUAGAAAUUUGCGAAGCCUUGCAAAUAAAGGCUUGCGAGACUCACACACUUGACUUUUAAUCAAGUUGUCUCGGGUUCGAGUCCCGAGUGGCUCAG